This 253-nucleotide ribosomal RNA is filed under the name uncultured bacterium. RNAcentral's name for it is "partial 16S ribosomal RNA". It matches the Rfam family "Bacterial small subunit ribosomal RNA", at positions 524 to 776 of the family's 1533-position model. The record is from RNAcentral.
UACGUAGGGUGCGAGCGUUGUCCGGAAUUAUUGGGCGUAAAGAGCUUGUAGGCGGUUUGUCGCGUCUGCUGUGAAAAUCCGGGGCUCAACCCCGGACUUGCAGUGGGUACGGGCAGACUAGAGUGCGGUAGGGGAGACUGGAAUUCCUGGUGUAGCGGUGGAAUGCGCAGAUAUCAGGAGGAACACCGGUGGCGAAGGCGGAUCUCUGGGCCAUUACUGACGCUGAGGAGCGAAAGCGUGGGGAGCGAACAGG